AUUGAACGCUGGCGGCAUGCUUUACACAUGCAAGUCGAACGGUAACAGGCCUUCGGGUGCUGACGAGUGGCGAACGGGUGAGUAAUGCAUCGGAACGUACCCAGAGGUGGGGGAUAACGCAGCGAAAGCUGUGCUAAUACCGCAUGUGAUCUGAGGAUGAAAGCGGGGGACCGAGCAGCAAUGUUUGGCCUCGCGCCUUUGGAGCGGCCGAUGUCGGAUUAGCAAGUUGGUGGGGUAAAGGCCUACCAAGGCGACGAUCCGUAGCUGGUCUGAGAGGACGACCAGCCACACUGGGACUGAGACACGGCCCAGACUCCUACGGGAGGCAGCAGUGGGGAAUUUUGGACAAUGGGCGCAAGCCUGAUCCAGCAAUGCCGCGUGCGGGAAGAAGGCCUUCGGGUUGUAAACCGCUUUUGGCAGGAACGAAACGGUGUCCGCUAAUACCGGGCGCUAAUGACGGUACCUGCAGAAUAAGCACCGGCUAACUACGUG
Molecule: ribosomal RNA, 492 nt
Filed under: uncultured bacterium
Lineage: Bacteria
Description: partial 16S ribosomal RNA
Rfam family: Bacterial small subunit ribosomal RNA
Source: RNAcentral